This is a long non-coding RNA of Prionailurus viverrinus (fishing cat), 668 nucleotides long. RefSeq lists it as uncharacterized. The transcript is spliced from 4 exons. The record is from RefSeq and is a predicted model, not a curated record. Lineage: Eukaryota; Metazoa; Chordata; Mammalia; Carnivora; Felidae.
CAAAUUUCACAGCUGCUGGCUUUCAUACUGGAAUUUACACCAUUUACUUUCCUUAUUCUCAGGCCUUAGGACUCAUACUAGAACUAUACAAUUGGAUCUCUUCUGAGAUCUUGGGACUUCUCAACCUCCAUAAUCAUGUUUCUUUCUGACCCUAGGUCCCUGAUCUCAUUUUUCCAGGAUACUUUUCUUUAGGUGAUCAUUCAAAAUACCAAGCACAGCUGCUCACAGAUGACUGACCAAACAGGAAUCUCACUCCAUUUUUCAAUUUUCACCUGCUGACAACUUUUAGACAUCAUCCCUUCCUCAUCGUUUUUGUCCACAUUUGGGUGAGCUAAUAAGAGAGCCUGUGCUUUCUCCUUCAGUACCUGCUGGAAACUGAAACCACACAAGCCCCCACCUUAUCCGUACCCCACCCUUAAAUGCAAUAAAAACUCCUGAGCCAGUCUCUUUUUCUGGCACUCUCCAGACACUUCAGACCUCCUUGUGAUCCCUGCUCUGUGUGGUGUACUACUCUUGACAUUUCAGUCAAAUUUCAGUGAAAGUGCCCCCUGCUUUUGCAGGGUGACCGUAACGGCUUGACUCCUGCAGGAACUGAUCGAUCAAGGAAGACAACACAACAGCUGCAUGGAUUUCCUUCACAAACUAUUGUUUUUAUCUUCAUAAUUCAA